RNAcentral lists this ribosomal RNA (329 nucleotides) under uncultured eukaryote. Its description in RNAcentral is "partial 18S ribosomal RNA". It matches the Rfam family "Eukaryotic small subunit ribosomal RNA", at positions 1470 to 1796 of the family's 1831-position model. The record is from RNAcentral.
CCCUUAGAUGUUCUGGGCCGCACGCGCGCUACACUGAUGCAUUCAACGAGUCUAAAACCUGCUCUGAUAGGGGUGGGUAAUCUUUUGAAUGUGCAUCGUGAUUGGGAUAGAUGAUUGCAAUUUUUCAUCUUCAACGAGGAAUGCCUAGUAGACGCAAGUCAUCAGCUUGCAUUGAUUACGUCCCUGCCCUUUGUACACACCGCCCGUCGCUCCUACCGAUUGAAUGAUCCGAUGAAUAUCAUGGAUUGAGGAUGCAAGUAGGUUAGCCUAUCUUCAUCUUCGAGAAGUGAAGUAAAUCUUAUCAUUUAGAGGAAGGAGAAGUCGUAACA